AACGAACGCUGGCGGCGUGCCUAACACAUGCAAGUCGAACGAGAAAGGGGCUUCGGCUCCGAGUAAAGUGGCGCACGGGUGAGUAACACGUGGGUAACCUGCCUCUAAGAUUGGGAUAACUCGUCGAAAGAUGAGCUAAUACCGAAUAAGACCACAGUUCCCGCGGGAACAGGGGUCAAAGGUAGCCUCUGCUUGCAAGCUAUCACUUAGAGAUGGGCCUGCGCACCAUUAGCUAGUUGGUAGGGUAACGGCCUACCAAGGCAAAGAUGGUUAGCUGGUCUAAAAGGAAGAUCAGCCACACUGGAACUGAAACACGGACAAGACUCAUACGGGAGGCAGCAGUGGGGAAUAUUGCGCAAUGGGCGACAGCUUGACGAAGCAACGCCGCGUGAGGGAUGAAGGCCAUCGGGUCGUAAAGCACUGUCGGGAGGAACGAAUGCUCCUGAGGUUAACAGCCUCGGGAGGUGACGGUACCUUCAAAGGAAGCACCGGCUAACUCUGUG
Molecule: ribosomal RNA, 503 nt
Filed under: uncultured bacterium
Lineage: Bacteria
Description: partial 16S ribosomal RNA
Rfam family: Bacterial small subunit ribosomal RNA
Source: RNAcentral